RNAcentral lists this microRNA precursor (95 nucleotides) under Heliconius melpomene (postman butterfly). RNAcentral's name for it is "microRNA hme-mir-6303 precursor". Lineage: Eukaryota; Metazoa; Arthropoda; Insecta; Lepidoptera; Nymphalidae. The record is from miRBase by way of RNAcentral.
UAAGAAUGGCAAGUACAUACAGUUAUAGUAAAACCUUAGCAUACAUGAGUUAUAUUAUGCGAUACUAUAAUUUUAUGUAUUUCAGGACGUUCUUA